GGGUUGUGAGGUUAAGUGACUAAGCGUACACGGUGGAUGCCUAGGCAGUCAGAGGCGAU
RNAcentral lists this ribosomal RNA (59 nucleotides) under Serratia liquefaciens. RNAcentral's name for it is "partial 23S ribosomal RNA". The record is from RNAcentral. Lineage: Bacteria; Pseudomonadati; Pseudomonadota; Gammaproteobacteria; Enterobacterales; Yersiniaceae.